Molecule: ribosomal RNA, 196 nt
Filed under: uncultured Lactobacillus sp.
Lineage: Bacteria; Bacillati; Bacillota; Bacilli; Lactobacillales; Lactobacillaceae
Description: partial 16S ribosomal RNA
Rfam family: Bacterial small subunit ribosomal RNA
Source: RNAcentral
UCCUACGGGUGGCAGCAGUAGGGAAUCUUCCACAAUGGACGAAAGUCUGAUGGAGCAAUGCCGCGUGAGUGAAGAAGGUUUUCGGAUCGUAAAACUCUGUUGUUGAAGAAGAACAUAUGUGAGAGUAACUGUUCACGUACUGACGGUAUUCAACCAGAAAGCCACGGCUAACUACGUGCCAGCAGCCGCGGUAAUA